UGAGGAAUCUUCCACAAUGGGCAAAAGCCUGAUGGAGCAACGCCGCGUGCAGGAUGAAGGCCCUCGGGUCGUAAACUGCUUUUAUAAGUGAAGAAUAUGACGGUAACUUAUGAAUAAGCACCGGCUAACUACGUGCC
This 137-nucleotide ribosomal RNA is filed under the name uncultured bacterium. RNAcentral describes it as "partial 16S ribosomal RNA". It matches the Rfam family "Bacterial small subunit ribosomal RNA", at positions 355 to 509 of the family's 1533-position model. The record is from RNAcentral.